Molecule: unclassified non-coding RNA, 250 nt
Filed under: plant metagenome
Description: partial contains small subunit ribosomal RNA, internal transcribed spacer 1, and 5.8S ribosomal RNA
Source: RNAcentral
GUAGGUGAACCUGCGGAAGGAUCAUUAACGUAUCACCGGCAGAGAGCGAUCCCUGCUCCGGCGCGAGCCGUGCAGCGGGAGAGCGAUCCGUCCGAACCUUUUCAAACCCCGUGCACUUUGACGGCGGACGGGCGCGCUCCGAGCGAAAGCUUUGGGCGUUCCCCGAAGCCGUACCAAACAAACACCUUGAAACUCGAAUGUCAUGCGGCCUAAGCGUCGCCUAAACUUACGAAACAACUUUCAACAACGG